Molecule: ribosomal RNA, 247 nt
Filed under: uncultured Lactobacillus sp.
Lineage: Bacteria; Bacillati; Bacillota; Bacilli; Lactobacillales; Lactobacillaceae
Description: partial 16S ribosomal RNA
Rfam family: Bacterial small subunit ribosomal RNA
Source: RNAcentral
CGUGGGUAACCUGCCCAAGAGAUCGGGAUAACACCUGGAAACAGACGCUAAUACCGGAUAACAACAGAUGAUGCCUAUCAACUGUUUAAAAGAUGGUUCUGCUAUCACUCUUGGAUGGACCUGCGGUGCAUUAGCUAGUUGGUAGGGUAACGGCCUACCAAGGCGAUGAUGCAUAGCCGAGUUGAGAGACUGAUCGGCCACAUUGGGACUGAGACACGGCCCAAACUCCUUACGGGAGGCAGCAGUC